AUCACUCCCUGAGCAGUGUUUGAGUG
This 26-nucleotide non-coding RNA is filed under the name Mus musculus (house mouse). The record is from RNAcentral. Lineage: Eukaryota; Metazoa; Chordata; Mammalia; Rodentia; Muridae.